This 178-nucleotide non-coding RNA is filed under the name Actinokineospora spheciospongiae. Lineage: Bacteria; Bacillati; Actinomycetota; Actinomycetes; Pseudonocardiales; Pseudonocardiaceae. The record is from RNAcentral.
UUAGGUUCUGCCCGAGCCAGUCGUGCCCGCAAGGCCAGGGAACCCGGUGCGAAUCCGGGACUGUCGCGCAGCGGUGAGGGUGACCGGCGGAACACGUGCCACUGGGCCCCGGUGCCCGGGAAGGCGUUCCGGCGGGCUGAACCCGAGUCCGAAGACCUGCUGGCUCGGUCGUCGACCG